UUAUCUGUAUUGAGCAAAUUUGGUUCUCCACGUCCACGUAGUAUCCACAUACGGCCUCAGUAAAGAAGGCGGCCUUGACAUGGUCGAUUUAAGAAGGGCCGGUCUCAGUCAAUAAACGGACCAAGUGAUGCAACUCACCGUAAUGUCACAUCGAGCUCUGACACUCGUAUAUCGAGGCCACCAACCCUUGUACUUUUUUAUAUUAUUUCGAGUGUUAGAUUUAUAUAAAACUCUCUCUAUCUGACUCUCUCUCUCUCUCUCUCUCUCUCUCUAGUGUAAAAUCUGCUAUUUGUCUCGUUGUUCUUAUAUCUUUGUCAUUUCACAAUCUCUAGACCAUAUUACA
This 343-nucleotide long non-coding RNA is filed under the name Nicotiana benthamiana. RNAcentral describes it as "long non-coding RNA (NBEN_LNC033697)". Lineage: Eukaryota; Viridiplantae; Streptophyta; Magnoliopsida; Solanales; Solanaceae. The record is from RNAcentral.